This 720-nucleotide ribosomal RNA is filed under the name Shigella flexneri. RNAcentral's name for it is "bacterial SSU rRNA". It matches the Rfam family "Bacterial small subunit ribosomal RNA", at positions 56 to 767 of the family's 1533-position model. The record is from RNAcentral. Lineage: Bacteria; Pseudomonadati; Pseudomonadota; Gammaproteobacteria; Enterobacterales; Enterobacteriaceae.
UGCAGUCGACGGUAACAGGAAGCAGCUUGCUGUUUCGCUGACGAGUGGCGGACGGGUGAGUAAUGUCUGGGAAACUGCCUGAUGGAGGGGGAUAACUACUGGAAACGGUAGCUAAUACCGCAUAACGUCGCAGGACCAAGGAGGGGGACCUUCGGGCCUCUUGCCAUCGGAUGUGCCCAGAUGGGAUUAGCUAGUAGGUGGGGUAACGGCUCACCUAGGCGACGAUCCCUAGCUGGUCUGAGAGGAUGACCAGCCACACUGGAACUGAGACACGGUCCAGACUCCUACGGGAGGCAGCAGUGGGGAAUAUUGCACAAUGGGCGCAAGCCUGAUGCAGCCAUGCCGCGUGUAUGAAGAAGGCCUUCGGGUUGUAAAGUACUUUCAGCGGGGAGGAAGGGAGUAAAGUUAAUACCUUUACUCAUUGACGUUACCCGCAGAAGAAGCACCGGCUAACUCCGUGCCAGCAGCCGCGGUAAUACGGAGGGUGCAAGCGUUAAUCGGAAUUACUGGGCGUAAAGCGCACGCAGGCGGUUUGUUAAGUCAGAUGUGAAAUCCCCGGGCUCAACCUGGGAACUGCAUCUGAUACUGGCAAGCUUGAGUCUCGUAGAGGGGGGUAGAAUUCCAGGUGUAGCGGUGAAAUGCGUAGAGAUCUGGAGGAAUACCGGUGGCGAAGGCGGCCCCCUGGACGAAGACUGACGCUCAGGUGCGAAAGCGUGGGGA